CCGGCAUCUAAACGGAGCCCCACGGGUGCUUAGGAUUCCUCGGGCCCAGCGCUGAAAUGAGCACUUGUUUAACUUCACCUGUGUGGCUCCCGGCGGGAGGCCUCAUUCACAGUCACGUUUGUGGAGCUCUGCUUUGCGCCAUCUUUGGUUCCUGACUUUGGGCGAGUGAAUUAAGCCGUCCCCUGUAAAAUUCGGCUAACACCUGCUUCACGGGGUGACUGGAGGGAUUAGAUGACAUAAUACAUAUUGAUGAGUGCGUGCCCAGCACAUACGAGGUUACCAGGUGACAGGGGUGUUUAUGAAGAACUGGGACUCACUGGAUGAACAUGGGGUCUGUACUGCCGACAAAGACUGUGAAGACGCUUACAGAGUUUGCCAGAUCUUAGACAUCCCUUUCCAUCAAGUGUCCUACGUAAAGGAGUAUUGGAAC
Molecule: small RNA, 430 nt
Filed under: Pongo abelii (Sumatran orangutan)
Lineage: Eukaryota; Metazoa; Chordata; Mammalia; Primates; Hominidae
Description: processed transcript
Source: RNAcentral